Molecule: ribosomal RNA, 458 nt
Filed under: uncultured bacterium
Lineage: Bacteria
Description: partial 16S ribosomal RNA
Rfam family: Bacterial small subunit ribosomal RNA
Source: RNAcentral
CCUACGGGUGGCAGCAGUGAGGAAUAUUGGUCAAUGGGCGAGAGCCUGACCCAGCCAAGUCGCGUGAGGGAGUACUGCCCUAUGGGUUGUAAACCUCUUUUGUCGGGGAGCAAAAGCCGGACGUGUCCGGCUGUGAGAGUACCCGAAGAAAAAGCAUAGGCUAACUCCGUGCCAGCAGCCGCGGUAAUACGGAGGAUGCGAGCGUUAUCCGGAGUUUUUGGGUUAAAGGGGUGCGCAGGCGGAUUUUUAAGUCAGCGGUCAAAUCGUGGGGCUCAACCCCAUGCAGCCGUUGAAACUGGGGAUCUAGAGUGUGCGAGAGGUAAGCGGAAUGCGUGGUGUAGCGGUGAAAUGCAUAGAUAUCACGCAGAACCUCGAUGGCGAAGGCAGCAUACCGGUGCACAACUGACGCUCAGGCACUAAAGCGUGGGUAUCGAACAGGAUUAGAUACCCUGGUAGUC